GAUCAUGAGCACGGGAGCCCGCCACAGGAGGGGCUGAGAGGGAGCAUUCGACUCCGACCGUUGAACCUGAUCUGGAUGAUGCCAGCGAAGGAAGCGAACUUGGCUCGGGC
Molecule: non-coding RNA, 110 nt
Filed under: Microlunatus soli
Lineage: Bacteria; Bacillati; Actinomycetota; Actinomycetes; Propionibacteriales; Propionibacteriaceae
Description: TPP sequence
Rfam family: TPP riboswitch aptamer (THI element)
About the family: Vitamin B(1) in its active form thiamin pyrophosphate (TPP) is an essential coenzyme that is synthesised by coupling of pyrimidine and thiazole moieties in bacteria. The previously detected thiamin-regulatory element, thi box was extended, resulting in a new, highly conserved RNA secondary structure, the THI element, which is widely distributed in eubacteria and also occurs in some archaea.
Source: Rfam by way of RNAcentral